This 813-nucleotide long non-coding RNA is filed under the name Panax ginseng (ginseng). Its description in RNAcentral is "long non-coding RNA (PGIN_LNC000331)". The record is from RNAcentral. Lineage: Eukaryota; Viridiplantae; Streptophyta; Magnoliopsida; Apiales; Araliaceae.
UUCGUAGUCACCUUGAAUAUCUAAGUUAAAAAGAAGAUUGCAAAGUAUACUUAUAACAAGAAAGAAGAAGAGAAAUAUGAACUAAAUCUGCUGGCUAAGUCCAUGGGUUAGUAAUCUUAGCAAGAAAGAAGAAGAGUAAUUCUUAAAGUAAGCUGAAACAUCAAUUCCUUUAUGCUUUAAACUAAACAUCACCAAUGCUACAAUAGUUGAAGAAUGCAUGCCCGUUAACAUUGAUCAAAAUGUUAUUGGCGCAUAAAAAACAGGCACUAGACCUUAUUUACAUAGCUGAAAUAAAAGUAAUCAGCAAUUUGAAGCAGAAUAUUUCCAAAGUAUCACGAACUAAAGAUAUAUCUGUAAUACAUCAAAAUGCAACAUAAAAUGGUACCAAAAAUAAUUUUAUAAAGAUUUUAGAGAUCUUCUAUGACACUGCAUCAAAAUGUGAUAUUACCUGGUACUAAACUAUUCUAAUUUGGUAUUGACAAAAUAGGGUGGCCUGAAAACUGUAAAAUAUGUUGUUAUCUCACAAACAGGAACAAUGGUGAAGCAUAAGCUGUUAAUACCAAAGAAAAUGACCAAUACCGACCUUGAGCAGCUAUUUCCUGAAAUAUGCACAUUGGCAAGAUGCACUUCCGCGAGUAAAUAAAUAUAAGUGACAUGAAAAUGCAAUAAGUAGAAGUUUCAUGAGGCAUAUAACGAUUUGCAUAUCAGCAAACAGAACUACAAAUGUUACCAUUCUUGCUUGUAUCUAGUUCACAAAGGCUUCUGGCUUACAAAUAUUUGCUAAUAACUAAGAUAUGGUCUCUAAAGACUAGC